Molecule: non-coding RNA, 597 nt
Organism: Artibeus jamaicensis (Jamaican fruit-eating bat)
Lineage: Eukaryota; Metazoa; Chordata; Mammalia; Chiroptera; Phyllostomidae
Source: the annotation of a RefSeq genome assembly
AAGUGUCAAGAACAUCAUUUAGGCAACACUGUAGAGAUGAACUGGUGUCCAGGCUUAGUGACUGUGGUUCUCUUAGUGCUUGGACAAACCCGUGGAGACUCAGUGACCCAGACGGAAGGCCAAGUGACCCUGUCCAAAGGGGAUCCCCUGACUCUGAACUGCUCCUAUGAAUACACAGGUUACCCCACUCUCUUCUGGUAUGUUCAGUCUCCUGGAGAAGGUCCAGUGCUCCUCCUGAAAGCCACCAAAGCCGAUGUUAAGGAAAGCAACAAAGGUUUUGAAGCCACACACCACAAACAACAAAAUUCUUUUCACUUGGAGAAAACCUCAGUGGAGGAGUCUGAUUCGGCAGUGUACUACUGUGCUGUGAGUGACACAGUGACAGAAACUGCAGGGGGAGCUGAGCACAAACUCUGGCUGCUGAGUGUCUAUGACUGUUUGAUCCCCUCUGGUGCAUUCUAUUAUUUAACAUCAAAUACACAGGACAUCAAUACAGAUUUCCAAUCUUUAAGCACAUUAAUAGAGUUGUUAGACAAAUUAGACUUCCAUACAUACAGGAAUAUUGAAGGCAAAGGAAUGUUUAUGUUUAGUAAAUAA